Molecule: long non-coding RNA, 693 nt
Filed under: Nicotiana benthamiana
Lineage: Eukaryota; Viridiplantae; Streptophyta; Magnoliopsida; Solanales; Solanaceae
Description: long non-coding RNA (NBEN_LNC041897)
Source: RNAcentral
UUGAAAUACAAUGAGAAAAAAUAAAGAAUACAAUAAAAUACAUGGAAUACAGCAAGAUAUAUUGAAUUACAAUGAAAAAAAGAUAAUAAAUACAAUGAAAUACAUAAAAAUAUAGCGUAAUACGUUAAAAUUAUAUUGAAAUAUAUUACAAGAAAUGUUCUUCUUUAUCGUGAAAGAUAAAAUUGUGAUGUGGAUGUCAUGGAAUUGUUCUGAAUUGAUGAAGUUGAUUUGAAACUGAAUCAGAAAAAGGCAAAUCAGAUGGAAUCACAAGCUAUGGUUGGGAGGCGGCUGUACUUGUUGCUGUUGCACGCCAGAAAUAGCCAUCGCCGGCAUUAAAACAGCCGUCACAUGCAGCAAAGAUAAAUCCACAAAUCCUCCAUCCUCGCGCUUCUGCUUCACUACCCCAAGAUUCUAGAAAAUUAAAAAAUUCAACAUCUACUACUUAUAUCCUCCACAAGUGGCUCGAAAAGCUGACAUUAUAAAUGCGGCCCUAAUAUUCUUCUCCAUUUUGAUUCUCCUAACCUUUAUCAGCGACAAAUUCAUGGAAGACAUAGACCCAAUUGUUUGGUAUCUUUCAUACUUUGCAUAUAAUAUAACCAAUAAAGUGUUUGGUUACCUUUUGAAUAUUUUUUACUUUGCACAAAUUCGGUAAAAGGAAGAGAUUGGAAAUUCUAAUGGGAUGAGGAAAGAGAA